Molecule: non-coding RNA, 21 nt
Filed under: Arabidopsis thaliana (thale cress)
Lineage: Eukaryota; Viridiplantae; Streptophyta; Magnoliopsida; Brassicales; Brassicaceae
Source: RNAcentral
CGACUUCCCUUGCCUACAUUG